RNAcentral lists this long non-coding RNA (1357 nucleotides) under Scleropages formosus (Asian bonytongue). RNAcentral describes it as "lncRNA (ENSSFOG00015027662.1)". Lineage: Eukaryota; Metazoa; Chordata; Actinopteri; Osteoglossiformes; Osteoglossidae. The record is from RNAcentral.
CUCUUUUGCAAUAUUUUACAUCGCUGUAUGAACAGGUGCUGCAGGAAGCGACACCAUCUAAGCGAUCCAAAUUACGUGAUGUCAUCGAGGGUGCUCAGAGUCCAGUUCCUGGGAGAGAAGCGAGGGUUAACAUCGUGCGGAACGGGUUGGUAGGGCUGCCGCGACUGUCCAGCGCUCCGGGUCAAAGGCAUUUUAACGGUACUCAUUGAGAUGCAGACUGCCGCCGUCUGCCAGCUGGGGCAAGAAUGAACGGAGAGGGAUGGAGAUGGGCGAAGAAACUUACUAAUGCGGCCUUUGUAACAUUCUGAGACAAAUUACUUCUUUUCGGGAUCAAGAGGGGAAGAGGGGGAAUUGCAUUUUAAUGUAGCUUAAGUAGAGAUUCAAUUACAUGGAAGAGGGAGGCACUUGAAGGUACAGCCUGUACCCAGUGAGUGUCGAGCCCCAGAUACACGGAAAGGCAUGUUCUUUGCAGCUUAAUUUAAUUUGCGACAGCCUAAGUUCACACCGUCGUGAAAGAUGUCACAGUUGCUGGUUUUUGCUUCCUUGAUGUCCGUGGACAGUUUAAGAAAUGAAACCCCGUGAACUGCCCUGGUAUAUUAAUUCACACCUUGUCACUUGAACGGGAUUGAAUUUGCAUUCGUGUUUCCUGAUACUACAGUAUGUCAAGCAUGUUCUGCCACAUAUGGAGCCACCGUACGAGAGCCGUUUACUGAAACCGGAUGCUGUCUGGAACUGGAGUAUAACCGAGCAAAGCAGCCAUGCCCUGGGUGCAACCAAAGCAUCAUGUGAUGCUGCUGCAGGGUAUCACAGAGAGCUCAGCGAAGAGGAACCAUUCUGCGUGGGAGACCGGCCUUGGUGUUGUAAGGAUGAAAGUUCUUUGCUCAUCCCUUUCUGCUGCUGUGUGUUUUGAGCUGGUCUAUCCAGAAGCUUUGAAAUAUCUCCUCAGCUCCAUCAAAAUCAAACAAUGACCAAAUGGCCAUCAAACAAGACAAAUGCUUAAUUCACAUCCCCGAGCUAAUCUGACACUCAACCAAAGUGCCGUGGCUCUAUGAGUGGCCUAAAUUUUUGCUGCUCUUGGGUUUUCUACAGAGAAGUCAAACCCAGCCAUUAAUUCUGCUUCUGUAUUUUUCAGAUGUUCAUGGACGUCCAUGGUUCUGAUCUGCGAAACUGUCAGCUCUGGGAUGUUAAAGAGCCCCGGCAUGUUCAACAUGUACUUUCUAAGUAGAUUUCACAGUGCCAGUUUCGAUCAGUACUGGGGCAGAUGCUUCUACCAUGCACAGUAUUACACGUAAACUCCUGUCAGAAUAACCUGCAGUAUAUUAGCCAAUAAAUGUCUGCAGACCUUUCUUAUUUAUCA